RNAcentral lists this ribosomal RNA (478 nucleotides) under uncultured bacterium. RNAcentral's name for it is "partial 16S ribosomal RNA". It matches the Rfam family "Bacterial small subunit ribosomal RNA", at positions 28 to 523 of the family's 1533-position model. The record is from RNAcentral.
GACGAACGCUGGCGGCGUGCUUAACACAUGCAAGUCGAACGGUAAGGCCCUUCGGGGUACACGAGUGGCGAACGGGUGAGUAACACGUGGGUGAUCUGCCCUGCACUUCGGGAUAAGCCUGGGAAACUGGGUCUAAUACCGGAUAGGACCCUGGGAUGCAUGUCCUGGGGUGGAAAGCUUUUGCGGUGUGGGAUGGGCCCGCGGCCUAUCAGCUUGUUGGUGGGGUGAUGGCCUACCAAGGCGACGACGGGUAGCCGGCCUGAGAGGGUGACCGGCCACACUGGGACUGAGAUACGGCCCAGACCCCUACGGGAGGCAGCAGUGGGGAAUAUUGCACAAUGGGCGCAAGCCUGAUGCAGCGACGCCGCGUGAGGGAUGACGGCCUUCGGGUUGUAAACCUCUUUCAGCACCGACGAAGCGCAAGUGACGGUAGGUGCAGAAGAAGGACCGGCCAAUUACGUGCCAGCCGCCGCGGUAA